This 1149-nucleotide long non-coding RNA is filed under the name Macaca mulatta (Rhesus monkey). RNAcentral's name for it is "lncRNA (ENSMMUG00000052585.1)". The record is from RNAcentral. Lineage: Eukaryota; Metazoa; Chordata; Mammalia; Primates; Cercopithecidae.
AUGGGAAGGAGGCCUGAAGGUGGGAGUGAGACCCUCUCGAUGCUGGGGGCUCCAGAUGCCAGCAGGACCCUGCCCACAAUUCUGAGUAGCCAAGGGCACCUGAGCCUACCUGUGUGCUGCCCAGGCCUGCUGCCUGUGCUGGUGAGAGGGACUGGAACCCACCCUUCAGCCUGGGACCCUGACCUGCACCCUCCCCGCCCCAUCCCGAGUCAGGGCCUUGAGUGCUUCCAGUGCUACAGUGUCUUGGACCCCAGCCUGUGCCACCCGUCUCCGACCCCAUGCAGGCUCAAAGCUGCCCCUCCUCUGUGGUCACUGGCACUACCAAUGGGCAGAAAUUCAGCUACGCUAGCAAGAGCUGUGCCCCCACCCCGUGCCCAGAUUAUGAACCUCACCCAUCCUGUGGUCCAUGGAGGGUCUUACCCCAUAGAAACUGAGGAUGGACUGAUUGACUUGAAGACUGAGAAGCUGGACAUGACCUGCUGUGAAAAGAGCUUCUGUAACAAGGCAGCCACAGCGUGGCGCGGCCUUUGGGGCCUGGCUGUCAGGGAGCUCCUGCUCAGCCUGGGCCUCUUCCUUUGGGCCCUGCUGUGAGCCCAGCCCACCCUGGCACUGCCCCUGGUGGGUAAAUAGGAGCACAGGGCGGUUGCCCUGUGCAGCCCUCAGCUCCUGCCCUGAUGCCCUCGCCUAGCCGCCCAGCAGCCCAGAGACCCCCCUCACCCAGCAGCCUAGAUGCCCACUGGCCCAGAUAGUAAAUGCACGUGUUCAACCCAAGGACUUUGUUCCCUUAUUAACCCUUGGGGUCUGGUCUGUGGCCUUCAAGGGGGUCCCAGCAAAUUCCCCAAGGUGGGGUUCAGAGACUGGAGGGCCUUCCCCAGGUGGCCCAGCCCUGUGCUCAUUUCCAGCCAGGAUCAGGCUCAGCCCCAGCCCGAGGUCCAGAAGCAGCCCGGAGGGUCUUGCACUCAGGGCUGGGGCCACCCAGGAAGACUUGUUGGGGGCUGACAGAGGGGGCGGAGGGGUGGAGGCACUAAGGGCCCAGGCCAGCUGUGGCUGCCGGAUGUGUGAAACGGUCCUGGGCCCACAGGCUGGUGACUCCUGCAAGGCACCGCAGAGGGCGGGGGUGUCAAGGGGGCAGAGGCUGCAGCGCAGGGU